AAAUUAUAUGGUCAAGCGAAUAAGGGCAGACGGUGGAUGCCUUGGUGCUAGCUGGCGAUGAAGGUCGUGGUAAGCUGCGAAAAGCCUCGGGGAGUUGCAAACAAGCUUUGAUCCGGGGAUCACCGAAUGGGAAAACCUGAUACGGUUAAUCCCGUAUCAUUGCAAUCUGAAUACAUAGGAUUGCAAGGUAACACUGGGGGAAUUGAAACAUCUUAGUACCCCAAGGAAAAGAAAUCAAACAGAGAUUCCCUGAGUAGCGGCGAGCGAAAGGGGAAGAGCCCAAACCCGU
Molecule: ribosomal RNA, 289 nt
Filed under: Candidatus Zixiibacteriota bacterium
Lineage: Bacteria; Pseudomonadati; Candidatus Zixiibacteriota
Description: partial 23S ribosomal RNA
Rfam family: Bacterial large subunit ribosomal RNA
Source: RNAcentral